CAGGGACAGGCUGGAGUUCUCUGCUGUCCAGUGUGGGCAGUGCCAGGAAGAAACCAUCCAGCUCCACAACACGUUCCAGGUCCCCUGUAAAUGGUCCAUCAGCAUGACUGAUCCUGUUGAGGAGGUGGACAAACAUCUGCCAGGGAGCGAGCACCAGAAGCUGCUGGAGGAGAUGAAGUCUGUGCCCUGUGGCUUUGAGGUGCUGCCCUCAGCUGGAAGCCUCGCUCCAGGACAGCAGUGCCACGUCCAAGUCCGUUUUUCACCCACGGAAGAGAAGUGCUACCGGGGCGAGCUGCAGAUCC
Molecule: long non-coding RNA, 302 nt
Organism: Melopsittacus undulatus (budgerigar)
Lineage: Eukaryota; Metazoa; Chordata; Aves; Psittaciformes; Psittaculidae
Exons: 3
Source: RefSeq, a predicted model, not a curated record